RNAcentral lists this ribosomal RNA (253 nucleotides) under uncultured bacterium. RNAcentral describes it as "partial 16S ribosomal RNA". It matches the Rfam family "Bacterial small subunit ribosomal RNA", at positions 524 to 776 of the family's 1533-position model. The record is from RNAcentral.
UACGGGGGGUGCGAGCGUUGUCCGGAAUCACUGGGCGUAAAGGGCGCGUAGGUGGCGUCGUAAGUCUGUGGUGAAAGCCCGGAGCUCAACUCCGGGUCUGCCGCGGAUACUGCGAGGCUUGAGUGCUGUAGAGGGGGGUAGAAUGCCGGGUGUAGCGGUGGAAUGCGUAGAGAUCCGGCAGAAGACCGGUGGCGAAGGCGGUGAGCUGGGCAGUUGCUGACACUGAGGCGCGACAGCGUGGGGAGCAAACAGG